This is a long non-coding RNA of Conger conger (European conger), 299 nucleotides long. RefSeq lists it as uncharacterized. The record is from RefSeq and is a predicted model, not a curated record. NCBI's taxonomy places the organism in Eukaryota, Metazoa, Chordata, Actinopteri, Anguilliformes, Congridae. The transcript has 3 exons.
AGCAGAAGGACUAGUUCUGCCCAAGCACCACAUUGCAGAUCCAUGUAAUGGUAAUGACCAUGAAACCGAAUACGGCGAUUUGUACUUGGCCGUGAACAUUGGACGAAUCUGCUUGUUCAUAACUGCGACUGUGGCCAUCAUUCUGCUGACGGUGCACUGGGCUCUGAAGCUCAGAGGAAAACCUUCGCCCAGGAACACACCCCCAUCCCAGGAGAGGGCGAGGACAGUUCCUCCCCCUCCACAGGGUCAGUUUGUGAUGCAGACGAUGGCUAUGAGCUCCCCAACAUACUACAACGUAC